RNAcentral lists this ribosomal RNA (781 nucleotides) under Enterobacter cloacae. RNAcentral describes it as "bacterial LSU rRNA". It matches the Rfam family "Bacterial large subunit ribosomal RNA", at positions 2168 to 2925 of the family's 2925-position model. Lineage: Bacteria; Pseudomonadati; Pseudomonadota; Gammaproteobacteria; Enterobacterales; Enterobacteriaceae. The record is from RNAcentral.
ACGCCAGUCUGCGUGGAGCCGUCCUUGAAAUACCACCCUUUAAUGGCUGGUGUUCUAACGUAGACCCGUUAUCCGGGUUGCGGACAGUGUCUGGUGGGUAGUUUGACUGGGGCGGUCUCCUCCCAAAGAGUAACGGAGGAGCACGAAGGUUGGCUAAUCCUGGUCGGACAUCAGGAGGUUAGUGCAAUGGCAUAAGCCAGCUUGACUGCGAGCGUGACGGCGCGAGCAGGUGCGAAAGCAGGUCAUAGUGAUCCGGUGGUUCUGAAUGGAAGGGCCAUCGCUCAACGGAUAAAAGGUACUCCGGGGAUAACAGGCUGAUACCGCCCAAGAGUUCAUAUCGACGGCGGUGUUUGGCACCUCGAUGUCGGCUCAUCACAUCCUGGGGCUGAAGUAGGUCCCAAGGGUAUGGCUGUUCGCCAUUUAAAGUGGUACGCGAGCUGGGUUUAGAACGUCGUGAGACAGUUCGGUCCCUAUCUGCCGUGGGCGCUGGAGAAUUGAGGGGGGCUGCUCCUAGUACGAGAGGACCGGAGUGGACGCAUCACUGGUGUUCGGGUUGUCAUGCCAAUGGCACUGCCCGGUAGCUAAAUGCGGAAGAGAUAAGUGCUGAAAGCAUCUAAGCACGAAACUUGCCCCGAGAUGAGUUCUCCCUGAGACCUUGAGUCUCCUGAAGGAACGUUGAAGACGACGACGUUGAUAGGUCGGGUGUGUAAGCGCAGCGAUGCGUUGAGCUAACCGAUACUAAUGAACCGUGAGGCUUAACCUUACAACGCCGAAGGUGUUU